AUGUACACGCAUCUAAUAAAAAAACUUUUCUUAUUCAUCUUUUUUCUAUCUUCCAAUUCAUCUCCACUAUACCCCUCGUCUUCUAAUUCCUUUUGUUGAACCAAGGAAGUCUCUAAAAUAAUUCGCAAAUCUAAAUCUGCUAAUUGUUCUCUAAUAGCACCUGGAGGUAGCUAG
This 174-nucleotide ribosomal RNA is filed under the name Triticum aestivum (bread wheat). RNAcentral describes it as "partial small subunit ribosomal RNA". The record is from RNAcentral. Lineage: Eukaryota; Viridiplantae; Streptophyta; Magnoliopsida; Poales; Poaceae.